UACGUAGGGUGCAAGCGUUGUCCGGAAUUAUUGGGCGUAAAGAGCUCGUAGGCGGUUUGUUGCGUCGGCUGUGAAAUCCCGAGGCUCAACCUCGGGUCUGCAGUCGAUACGAGCAAACUAGAGUGUUGCAGGGGAGACUGGAAUUCCUGGUGUAGCGGUGAAAUGCGCAGAUAUCAGGAGGAACACCGGUGGCGAAGGCGGGUCUCUGGGCCGAUACUGACGCCGAGGAGCGAAAGCGUGGGGAGCGAACAGG
Molecule: ribosomal RNA, 253 nt
Filed under: uncultured bacterium
Lineage: Bacteria
Description: partial 16S ribosomal RNA
Rfam family: Bacterial small subunit ribosomal RNA
Source: RNAcentral